CCUACCUGUCGCCCCCUUCCGCGACCAAAAGGAAAGAGUAUCCCCCGGGCCCCAGGGCAAACGCCGCGACUACGGAGGCAACAAAUCACCGCACAAAAAAAAAGAGAGCGAAUAGCGCAGAUCUUCAACCACACAUUCACCCACAAACCAGCGGCGAAACGAAGAAACAGCGGACGCGCUGCUUUCUAUGAUGAAGUGCGACUUUUCCGGGGAGAGAGCCCACGCAAACCCACAAGGCACCCAAGAUAGCGCCCACACUGGCGGCAGAUGGCCGCCGCUGCGUGAAAAUAAUUGCCCUUUAUGCUUUGCUCAUGCAUACCUCCCCUCCGAUUGUCUGGGGUGGCACUGUUGUUGGUUUCGAAGACGGGCUUGACCAUUGUCUUUCAAAGCGCGUUGCGAGAUUAUUUUCACAUUUUCUUUUGCACAUAUUUGGCCGUUACAAAAAGCCCACGCGUGCGCCUCAACAAAAACACUGUUUUGCU
Molecule: unclassified non-coding RNA, 482 nt
Filed under: Leishmania donovani
Lineage: Eukaryota; Euglenozoa; Kinetoplastea; Trypanosomatida; Trypanosomatidae
Description: gene:unknown
Source: RNAcentral